Molecule: ribosomal RNA, 460 nt
Filed under: uncultured bacterium
Lineage: Bacteria
Description: partial 16S ribosomal RNA
Rfam family: Bacterial small subunit ribosomal RNA
Source: RNAcentral
CCUACGGGUGGCAGCAGUGAGGAAUAUUGGUCAAUGGACGAGAGUCUGAACCAGUCAAGUAGCGUGAAGGAUGACUGCCCUAUGGGUUGUAAACUUCUUUUAUAUGGGAAUAAAAUGUUCCACGUGUGGGAUUUUGUAUGUACCAUAUGAAUAAGGAUCGGCUAACUCCGUGCCAGCAGCCGCGGUAAUACGGAGGAUCCGAGCGUUAUCCGGAUUUAUUGGGUUUAAAGGGAGCGUAGGUGGAUUGUUAAGUCAGUUGUGAAAGUUUGCGGCUCAACCGUAAAAUUGCAGUUGAAACUGGCAGUCUUGAGUACAGUAGAGGUGGGCGGAAUGCGUGGUGUAGCGGUGAAAUGCUUAGAUAUCACGAAGAACUCCGAUUGCGAAGGCAGUUCACUGGACUGCAACUGACACUGAGGCUCGAAAGUGUGGGUAUCAAACAGGAUUAGAUACCCCAGUAGUC